Molecule: ribosomal RNA, 450 nt
Filed under: uncultured bacterium
Lineage: Bacteria
Description: bacterial SSU rRNA
Rfam family: Bacterial small subunit ribosomal RNA
Source: RNAcentral
GUGGGGAAUAUUGGACAAUGGGCGAAAGCCUGAUCCAGCCAUGCCGCGUGUGUGAAGAAGGUCUUCGGAUUGUAAAGCACUUUAAGUUGGGAGGAAGGGCAGUAAGUUAAUACCUUGCUGUUUUGACGUUACCGACAGAAUAAGUACCGGCUAACUUCGUGCCAGCAGUCGCGGUAAUACGAAGGGUGCAAGCGUUAAUCGGAAUUACUGGGCGUAAAGCGCGCGUAGGUGGUUUUGUAAGUUGGAGGUGAAAUCCCCGGGCUCAACCUGGGAACUGCCUCCAAAACUGCAUGACUAGAGUACGGUAGAGGGUAGUGGAAUUUCCUGUGUAGCGGUGAAAUGCGUAGAUAUAGGAAGGAACACCAGUGGCGAAGGCGACUACCUGGACUGAUACUGACACUGAGGUGCGAAAGCGUGGGGAGCAAACAGGAUUAGAAACCCGGGUAGUCC